AAGAUAUUAUUUGGAUUAUUUAAUUGGUGAAUGUUAAUUAAAGUAAUAUUAGUGAAUGUAUUUUAGUAUAGUUUAUGGAAUUUAGGGAAUGAAUAAUAGAGGAGUAGUACUGUGAAGGAAGGAUGAAAUAUAUGAAAUAGUUAUUGGAAUGAAAGAAGAAUGGAGUUUGUACCUUGGGUAUCAGGGUUUAUUAAUUAAUAAUAGUGAUUUUUAUAGUUCUCGAAAUAAGAAGAGUUAAAGUAGUAGUGUAGUUAAUGUGUUAUUAUUAUUAGUAAUACUAUUGUAGUAAUGAAAUGUUAAACGUUUUUUGAGUUAUCUAGUUUCCUAAGAAAUGAAUUUAAUUCAUGUUAUUAUGAGUAGGCGUUUGAUUGAUAUCAAUUGUUUAUUUUUGAUAACAAAUAUAUGAAGGGAUAAGCUUUUGUAUAUAAAUUAUAAAUUUUUUUUAUGGAUUAUGAAAAGUGGUAGGCUUUAAAUUAGCUAUCAAUGAAAUAAUGUUAUAAGUUGUUUUGUUACUGAAUUAUUUUUUAAUAGUUUUAAUUUGUUUAUUGGGAUAUUAUAUUGAAUAGGUUAAUAUAAGUAAUGAUGAUAAAAUGAGUAUAUAAAAUUGUUUAUCUUAAUAUUUUUGGGAAUUUAUAGUAAGGAACUAGGCAAAUUAUCACUCGCCUGUUUAUCAAAAACAUCUCCUUUUGUGUGUAUUUAAGGUAGGGCCUGCCCACUGAAGGUUAUUUGAAGGGCCGCGGUAUUAUGACCGUGCAAAGGUAGCAUAAUCAUUAGUCUUUUAAUUGAAGGCUGGAAUGAAUGGUUUGACGAGGUGAUGACUGUCUCAGUAUAAUAAGUAGAAGUUAACUUUUAAGUUAAAAGGCUUAAAUUUUAGUGGAGGACGAGAAGACCCUAUAGAGCUUUAUAUAUAAAUUUAGAUUUGAAUUUAGAAGUUUGUGGGAAUUUGGAUUAAUUAUAUUAUGUUGGGGUGACAUAAAGAUAAAAUUAACUCUUUAUAUAAGGAACAUUGAUGUAUGGAUUUAUUGAUCCAUUUUUAGUGAUCAUAAGAUUAAGUUACCUUAGGGAUAACAGCGUAAUUUUUCUUGAGAGUUCAUAUCAACAGAGAAGAUUGCGACCUCGAUGUUGGAUUAAGGAAUAUAAUUAGAUGCAGCAGUUUAGUUAAUAGGUCUGUUCGACCUUUGAAUCCUUACAUGAUCUGAGUUCAGACCGGUGUAAGCCAGGUCGGUUUCUAUCCUCAUUAUUUUGUUAUACUUUAGUACGAAAGGACCAAGUAUUUUAAAUAUUUUAUUUUAUUUGAUUAUUAGUA
This 1306-nucleotide ribosomal RNA is filed under the name Poecilimon elegans. RNAcentral describes it as "16S ribosomal RNA". The stretch from base 876 to 1236 matches the Rfam family "Bacterial large subunit ribosomal RNA", at positions 2075 to 2645 of the family's 2925-position model. Lineage: Eukaryota; Metazoa; Arthropoda; Insecta; Orthoptera; Tettigoniidae. The record is from RNAcentral.